Raphanus sativus (radish) is the source of this 995-nucleotide long non-coding RNA. RefSeq lists it as uncharacterized. The transcript is spliced from 3 exons. NCBI's taxonomy places the organism in Eukaryota, Viridiplantae, Streptophyta, Magnoliopsida, Brassicales, Brassicaceae. The record is from RefSeq and is a predicted model, not a curated record.
AGAAUUAACCUAAAAAUAUAAUUAUCUUCUAUCAUCUUCUCCGCCGUUUCUCUUCCUCCUCUCCAAUGGUGAUUUAGCCUUCUUCUUCAUCAUAAGGUUAAGUGAUCAUCGUCUAUAUUCUUUGUCUCUUUUUCUCUGUUCUCUGUUUUUUAUCCUCGUUUUUGUUCUAUGCCUUCUUACUUCGUCGGUUCAAUCAUAUAUUUCAUCACUACUUUCAUCAAAAUCCUACAAUUCUUCACACAUGGUUCUUGAUCUUACAAAAGAUAACCUUGUCUACAAGUUUUCUUUUGGUAUCUCCUUGGUCACUUCUUUGGUUCGAAAACAAGGAUCAGAAUGAUCACUCUGAUCUUGAAGAAGGCAUCAGAAGAUGGUUUACUAAGAGCUUGAUGUCGCGAGCGAUGUUGCUAUUUGUAGAGUGGAAUUUCUUUGUCCUUUCCCAUAUGAUUGCAUUCAGAUUGAGCUCAAGAGAUAUCCAAGUGAGUGUUUGGGUUUAGUUCUGUCUGCAACAUCUGGUGGGUACUAAUUGUUUUUUGGUUUGAUAUGAAAAAUAUGCGAGAUAUUUUGGUGCCAAGAAGAGGCAAUGAACAUGGGAGCAUACAACUACAUAACUCCAAGGUUAUAGACAGCAAUGAAAAGCUUAGGCAGAAGAGAGAUGGAAGGCAUUAAGUAUUGUUGGUCGUGGACCUUCUGCUGACUGCUGCUACUGCCACUGGUUUCUACACUUUCCAUGUCAAGAGCAAAAGCUGAGCUCAUCCAGAAAGCCAUUGGCAAUGAACCUAUCAGUAGAACAAAAAACUUCAUUUUGAAUGAAUUCAUAUACUGAAAAAAGAAAAAAAAAGAGAACUUCAAAUAAAAAGUUUGGGUGAUCAAAGUGAUAAACAACACUGACAAAAUCUUGUCUUUGUGGUCCCACUGAUUUUUUGAACCUCUCUUGUGUUGCAGUUUGAUAAACAUCAUCUCAUUUAUAAUAAUAAAACUAUUGUUUUUCUUGUUCA